CCGUAGGGAGUAAUGGAGCCGCGUAGGAUCCGUCGCAGGGAGUAAUGGAGCCGCAUAGGAUUCGCCGAAGGGAGUGGAGCAGAAUCGUGGCCGUUACUACGGCCUGCCAGGGAGUCCAGACUUAUCGGCUGAAGUUCGGUUGGAGUCCGUAGCUGGAGAGAGGUGGCUAGCUGUCCGUCCGAGAGGAGCUUGGAGUCUGGCUCUCGUAGGAGCCCGGACGGAGUCUUCUUUCAAUUGAAGUCGGGGAUGAAGUCUGGCUCCCACAGGAGCCCGGAUGGAGUCUUCCCACAGCUGGGGCUAGAGGCGAAGUCU
This 312-nucleotide long non-coding RNA is filed under the name Elaeis guineensis (African oil palm). RNAcentral's name for it is "long non-coding RNA (EGUI_LNC045140)". The record is from RNAcentral. Lineage: Eukaryota; Viridiplantae; Streptophyta; Magnoliopsida; Arecales; Arecaceae.